Molecule: ribosomal RNA, 479 nt
Filed under: uncultured bacterium
Lineage: Bacteria
Description: bacterial SSU rRNA
Rfam family: Bacterial small subunit ribosomal RNA
Source: RNAcentral
ACUCCUACGGGAGGCAGCAGUGGGGAAUAUUGCACAAUGGGGGAAAGCCCAUCGAUGCAGCCAUGCCGCGUGUGUGAAGAAGGCCUUCGGGUUGUAAAGCACUUUCAGCGAGGAGGAAAGGGUGUGUGCUAAUACCAUACAUCUGUGACGUUACUCGCAGAAGAAGCACCGGCUAACUCCGUGCUAGCAGCCGCGGUAAUACGGAGGGUGCGAGCGUUUAAAUCGGAAUCAUUGGGUUUAAAGGGUCCGUAGGUGGAUGAUUAAGUCAGAGGUGAAAUCCUGCAGCUCAACUGUAGAAUUGCCUUUGAUACUGGUUGUCUUGAAUUAUUGUGAAGUAGUUAGAAUAUGUGGUGUAGCGGUGAAAAUGCAUAGAUAUCACAUAGAAUACCGAUUGCGAAGGCAGAUUACUAACAAUACAUUGACACUGAUGGACGAAAGCGUGGGGAGCAAACAGGAUUAGAUACCCUGGUAGCGAGUAG